UCCGGAAUGGUCUAACGGUCAUGAUUUCCGCUUGUCAAUUUGUUGAAAUACACUAUCAACAAGCGCGGGAGACCAGGGUUCGACUCCCUGUUCCGGAG
Molecule: transfer RNA, 98 nt
Rfam family: tRNA
About the family: Transfer RNA (tRNA) molecules are approximately 80 nucleotides in length. Their secondary structure includes four short double-helical elements and three loops (D, anti-codon, and T loops).
Source: Rfam